GGCCAGAUAAGUCAGCUGCAACAGGCAGGGAGUGACAUCAUAUGAGGUUCUUCACUGAUUCCCCCACACAAGAAGAUUCCUGGAAACAGCUGAGGAACCAAGACUGGAAGUGCUGGACCCAGGCAAAAGACAUUUUUAGUCUGUGAAUGAAACACUCCAAGGAAUUCCAAGUGCAGCUUGCCCCUUAAGAGUCUGCAGCCUGCUGAUAUCAUCAGUUAGGCCACUUCUGCUACUUGGCUUGAGGCCUCUGCAUCCGGUCUUGAUUGAGGCACAUGAGAGAGGCUGAGCUAGGCUCUUGGCCAAUUGCAAAGCGGCUUUCCUUCCGGUCCCGCCUCCCCCUUCCUCUCAUUUGUGUCUUUUCACCUGGCCAUGCUGUUUCCUGCCUCUUGCCAGGGCCCCUCCGAGCAGCGAGCUGGACGAUGGAGAGGGACUCCCCGCCCCCACACAACGAUUGGGGCUGAAGUGGAUCCGUGGAGCGACUGAAUCUUGAAAAUGGGCGGCUGUGAAACAUCCCGGCCCUGGGCACCCAGGACAGAGGGGGGCAGGAACUCUUGAGACAAGAUUGGCUGGUUUUGCUUCUCCUGACUUACAUCUGUGAUUCCUAUACAGAAUCCAAGUAAGAGCUGCUGGAAGUUCGUAUCCGUCCAGUGUCUUAGCGUGACCCCUUAUUGGUACCCUGGCCAAUGUAAUCAGGUGGGGAGGGCAUGGGCCAAGGAAGGGGCCAAGGUAGCAGACAUAGAAAUGAACAAAGAUCUGGUGUAGAGUGUCCCGUGCGUUCCCCAUUCAGUGACAGUCGUGAACUGAUCUUCCAAACACUGCCAAGUCUGCCGUCACAGAUGCUUGCAGGAAGCCGUACCUGUCUGCACACGUGCAUGGGAACUCCCUCCUGCAGGACUCGAGUGUCCAGUUCUGGGCGCCACAUUUCAAGAAAGAUGUGGAGAAAUUGGAAAGGGUCCAGAGAAGAGCGACA
Non-coding RNA from Pelodiscus sinensis (Chinese soft-shelled turtle), 970 nucleotides. The record is from RefSeq and is a predicted model, not a curated record. Lineage: Eukaryota; Metazoa; Chordata; Testudines; Trionychidae.